RNAcentral lists this unclassified non-coding RNA (762 nucleotides) under Ilex crenata (Japanese holly). Its description in RNAcentral is "partial contains small subunit ribosomal RNA, internal transcribed spacer 1, 5.8S ribosomal RNA, internal transcribed spacer 2, and large subunit ribosomal RNA". The stretch from base 323 to 478 matches the Rfam family "5.8S ribosomal RNA". Lineage: Eukaryota; Viridiplantae; Streptophyta; Magnoliopsida; Aquifoliales; Aquifoliaceae. The record is from RNAcentral.
UUAUCAUUUAGAGGAAGGAGAAGUCGUAACAAGGUUUUCCGUAGGUGAACCUGCGGAAGGAUCAUUGUCGAUGCCUGCAAAGUAGACCGGCGAACCUGUUAAAACAUGCGGGGGGUUUGAGAAGGGGUGCGCGAGCCCCCCCAAUCACGCUCCCCCCACCUCGGGACCUGGCUUGCUUUCCCCCUGGCGGGGAACUCGGCCAAGCUCCCGACAAACGAACCCCGGCGCUGUCUGCGCCAAGGAACAAUAACCGAAGAGCUGGUCUCCCGGUGCCCCGUCCGCGGCGUGCACGGGAGGCGUUUGCGUCUUUUGAAUCCAAAACGACUCUCGGCAACGGAUAUCUCGGCUCUCGCAUCGAUGAAGAACGUAGCGAAAUGCGAUACUUGGUGUGAAUUGCAGAAUCCCGUGAACCAUCGAGUUUUUGAACGCAAGUUGCGCCCAAAGCCAUUAGGCCAAGGGCACGUCUGCCUGGGCGUCACGCAUCACGUCGCCCCAACCCCCAACGGCCCAGCCGGAUACUGCGGGAGUUGGGGCGGAGAUUGGCCUCCCGUCCGCGCGACCGUGAGCGGUUGGCCCAAAAAACGAGUUCUUGACGAUGGACGUCACGACAAGUGGUGGUUGAAAGACCUCUCGCAUCACGUCGUGGGGCGCCUAGUCUGCAGCGAGCUCCGACCCUGUGCACCUGAUUCGCUCUAGGGCGACGGUGCUUCGACCGCGACCCCAGGUCAGACGGGAUUACCCGCUGAGUUUAAGCAUAUCAAU